CUUGCUGCAGGGCAUCUCUUAAGCACAGUUUAAUCACAUUGCUGGGAACUGCAAUUAUUUUGCAUCUCCCGGAGGCUCCUGAGAGACAACUGUAAAUAAUGGCUUAUUCUCUUCACCAAACAAGAAGGCAAUUGACUCACACAAUUGCCUGAAGACUGGGCCUGGGAACUCCAGUUUCAUUCCACAGGGAUGCACUUAAAGGGCUGGCGUAGAGAAUGAAAAACUCCCCAAUGGAGUGCCUUCCUGCCUUCUCUAACUACAAAGUUCUUUAAGAAGCCAAGGGAGGCGUUACCUUCUUGUAUGCAGUCAGACUUCCACAGGUGCCAGCGCCAAGGGGAAGGCAGGGCAAAGGCUGAACACUGGCUAUGGCAGUGCCCACCCCUUCAUGGAGUCCACAUCUGACAAGCAGUGCAGGUGGAGCUAUGUGACAUGUCCCUUGGAGCCGAAAGGCAGAAACAACCCAACUGGCCAUCAAGAGAUGACUGGAUAAACAAAAAGUCUAUCUAUCCAUACAAUGGAAUGUUACCCAUAAAAAGGAAUGAAGUACUGAUCCAUGCUACAAGAUGGAUGAACCUUGGAAACAUUUUGCUAAGUAAAAGAAGUCAGUCAUGACCACGUGUGGUGGCUCACACCUGUAAUUUCAACACUUUUGGACGCUGAGGAGUUUUGCUCCGGCUCACUGCAAUCUUGGCUCACUGCAACCUCCGCCUCCUGGGUUCAAGCGAU
This 726-nucleotide long non-coding RNA is filed under the name Homo sapiens (human). RNAcentral's name for it is "HSALNT0286509". Lineage: Eukaryota; Metazoa; Chordata; Mammalia; Primates; Hominidae. The record is from RNAcentral.